This is a long non-coding RNA of Phacochoerus africanus (Common warthog), 365 nucleotides long. RefSeq lists it as uncharacterized. The record is from RefSeq and is a predicted model, not a curated record. Lineage: Eukaryota; Metazoa; Chordata; Mammalia; Artiodactyla; Suidae. The transcript has 2 exons.
UCUUCACUGCCUUCAUUUAUCUCAACUUCAGAAAAGUACAGGCUCCUCUACUGGUCAACAUCCCUCAUAGGAAAGGCAUAUCAAAUCCCUAUUGUUAUGUGUGUUCACUGUCUGUUCUGGUGCUGGGUCUGCUUCUCAGGAGAACCAUCCCUAGUGUGCAGGUAAUGUAACCCAUGUGCAGCUUGUACACCUAAAGAGGAGUUGGUAGGUUGAGAACAAAUAAUUAUUCUGCCACAUCUCUCACCACCUGUGACCUUCUCUGGAGAUUUCUAGGAUCCUCAGUUUGGCCAGCCCAACCUCCACGUGCAUGUCCGCUGGCAUGGCAACUUCUAAAUUCCUCCAUUUCUGGGAGCACUUUGACUAUG